This 485-nucleotide ribosomal RNA is filed under the name uncultured bacterium. RNAcentral describes it as "partial 16S ribosomal RNA". It matches the Rfam family "Bacterial small subunit ribosomal RNA", at positions 28 to 523 of the family's 1533-position model. The record is from RNAcentral.
GAUGAACGCUGGCGGCGUGCUUAACACAUGCAAGUCGAACGAAGCACUUUUCUUGCUUGCAAGAAAAGUGACUGAGUGGCGGACGGGUGAGUAACGCGUGGGCAACCUGCCUUACACUGGGGGAUAACAGGUGGAAACGACUGCUAAUACCGCAUAUGCACACAGUAUCACAUGAUACAGUGUGGAAAACGCCGGUAGUAGAGGAUGGGACCGCGGCGUAUUAGUUAGUUGGUGAGGUAAUGGCUCACCAAGGCGUCGAUCAGUAGCCGGCUUGAGAGAGUGACCGGCCACAUUGGGACUGAGACACGGCCCAAACUCCUACGGGAGGCAGCAGUGGGGAAUAUUGCACAAUGGGGGAAACCCUGAUGCAGCAACGCCGCGUGAGUGAAGAAGUAUUUCGGUAUGUAAAGCUCUAUCAGCAGGGAAGAUAAUGACGGUACCUGACUAAGAAGCCCCGGCUAACUACGUGCCAGCCGCCGCAGUAA